RNAcentral lists this ribosomal RNA (260 nucleotides) under uncultured bacterium. Its description in RNAcentral is "partial 16S ribosomal RNA". It matches the Rfam family "Bacterial small subunit ribosomal RNA", at positions 1240 to 1500 of the family's 1533-position model. The record is from RNAcentral.
CAAAGAGAAGCAAUACCGUGAGGUGGAGCAAAACUCAAAAAAUGAUCUCAGUUCGGACUGUAGGCUGCAACUCGCCUACACGAAGUUGGAAUUGCUAGUAAUCGUGGAUCAGCAUGCCACGGUGAAUACGUUCCCGGGUCUUGUACACACCGCCCGUCACACCAUGGGAGCUGGUAACACCCGAAGUCAGUAGUCUAACCGCAAGGAGGACGCUGCCGAAGGUGGGAUUAGCGACUGGGGUGAAGUCGUAACAAGGUAAC